GUGCCAGCCGCCGCGGUAAAACGUAGGUGGCGAGCGUUAUCCGGAUUUACUGGGCGUAAAGCGCGUUCAGGCGGCUUUGCAAGUCGGGCAUGAAAUCUCUUGGCUCAACCAGGAGAGGCUGUCCGAUACUGUGAGGCUUGAGGGCAGUAGAGGAUGGUGGAAUUCCGGGUGUAGUGGUGAAAUGCGUAGAUAUCCGGAGGAACACCUGUGGCGAAAGCGGCCAUCUGGGCUGCACCUGACGCUCACGCGCGAAAGCCAGGGGAGCGAACGGGAUUAGAUACCCCCGUAGUCC
This 292-nucleotide ribosomal RNA is filed under the name uncultured bacterium. Its description in RNAcentral is "partial 16S ribosomal RNA". It matches the Rfam family "Bacterial small subunit ribosomal RNA", at positions 505 to 796 of the family's 1533-position model. The record is from RNAcentral.